UUUCAGUUUGCAAGUCAGAAGGGAGUCAGAGCGGCUGCCUACAUUACAAGCCCAAAAGUCAUGCCCCAGUGGCCUCUGAAAGGGGAGCCCUAGAAGAAGCAAUUUUAAGACAUAAAACCAAAAGUUGUUCCAUGACAACACAGAAGCAUUUUGAUGCUAUUGAAGAUGCAGCUCUCAAAACAAAAGCAGAUCUCCUAAAUUCUCCUGAGUUUUAACAAGUUUGUUGAAGGAGAGAACUAUCAAACAGAGCUUCACGUGAUUCUGACCGUCAUUCUUCAGCAAAGUCAAGCCAAAUGAUUUCUGAAGAACUUCCGAUGAAAAUGACACUGCCUUCUUUGGGGAAGCACUUAUGGAAACAAUUCAGAAAGUGGGAGGAGUACUCAAGUAGAAAUCAAGGAUUUAAGAUGUUAGUCAUCAAUCUCUAAGUGGGAAACCCUCUUUUAGUGACCAUCUAAAAUAGUGUUUUUAAACUCACUGUCUGCAAAAUGGGUCGUAAACUUUUCUGGUAGUCUUUUUGCAAUACCAUUCAUUAUCCAAAGUAUUACUGUGAUGCACUUUUUUUGGAUAUUUUGACUGUGGGGCACAUUGAAGGGCAUUCUCAUGCCAGUAUAUCCUAAAAAACAUAGGUGAAAUAUAAUGGGAUGUGAUUGGUGAAAACAUGUAAUUUAACAUUAAAGAA
Molecule: long non-coding RNA, 679 nt
Organism: Ornithorhynchus anatinus (platypus)
Lineage: Eukaryota; Metazoa; Chordata; Mammalia; Monotremata; Ornithorhynchidae
Exons: 4
Source: RefSeq, a predicted model, not a curated record